UAGUUUCGCCGUCGGCAGUCCGUGCUGUC
Molecule: small RNA, 29 nt
Filed under: Bombyx mori (domestic silkworm)
Lineage: Eukaryota; Metazoa; Arthropoda; Insecta; Lepidoptera; Bombycidae
Description: piRNA piR-bmo-1254656
Source: RNAcentral